RNAcentral lists this ribosomal RNA (381 nucleotides) under uncultured fungus. Its description in RNAcentral is "SSU rRNA". It matches the Rfam family "Eukaryotic small subunit ribosomal RNA", at positions 587 to 972 of the family's 1831-position model. Lineage: Eukaryota; Fungi. The record is from RNAcentral.
AGCUCCAAUAGCGUAUAUUCAAGUUGUUGCAGUUAAAAAGCUCGUAGUUGAAUUUUGGCCCUGCUUAAGCGGUCUAGACGCAAGUUUAGCACUGCUUUGGGUGGGGCUUUCCUUCUAGGGAACUAGUGUGCUCUUUAUUGAGUGCGCUAAGGAUCUAGGACUGUUACUUUGAAAAAAUUAGAGUGUUUAAAACAGGCUUAUGCUUGAAUACAUUAGCAUGGAAUAACGGAAUAGGACUUUGUUUCUAUUUUGUUGGUUUUCAGAAACGAAGUAAUGAUUAAUAGGGAUAGUUGGGGGUAUUAGUAUUCCAUAGUCAGAGGUGAAAUUCUUGGAUUUAUGAAAGACUAACUUCUGCGAAAGCAUUUACCAAGGAUGUUUUCA